RNAcentral lists this ribosomal RNA (492 nucleotides) under uncultured bacterium. RNAcentral describes it as "partial 16S ribosomal RNA". It matches the Rfam family "Bacterial small subunit ribosomal RNA", at positions 29 to 507 of the family's 1533-position model. The record is from RNAcentral.
AGUGAACGCUGGCGGUAGGCCUAACACAUGCCAGUCGAACGGCAGCACAGUAAGAGCUUGCUCUUACGGGUGGCGAGUGGCGGACGGGUGAGGAAUACAUCGGAAUCUACUUUUUCGUGGGGGAUAACGUAGGGAAACUUACGCUAAUACCGCAUACGACCUACGGGUGAAAGCAGGGGAUCUUCGGACCUUGCGCGAUUGAAUGAGCCGAUGUCGGAUUAGCUAGUUGGCGGGGUAAAGGCCCACCAAGGCGACGAUCCGUAGCUGGUCUGAGAGGAUGAUCAGCCACACUGGAACUGAGACACGGUCCAGACUCCUACGGGAGGCAGCAGUGGGGAAUAUUGGACAAUGGGCGCAAGCCUGAUCCAGCCAUACCGCGUGGGUGAAGAAGGCCUUCGGGUUGUAAAGCCCUUUUGUUGGGAAAGAAAAGCAGCAGGUUAAUACCCCGCUGUUCUGACGGUACCCAAAGAAGAAGCACCGGCUAACUUCGUG